AACGAACGCUGGCGGCGUGCCUAACACAUGCAAGUCGAGCGCGAAUGGAGCAAUCCUAGUAGCGCGGCGCACGGGUGCGUAACACGUGGGUAAUCUGCCUGGGAGACCGGAAUAACCUGCCGAAAGGCUGGCUAAUACCGGAUAAGCCCACGGACUCUUCGGAGUCUGAGGGAAAAGGUGGCCUCUGUAUACAAGCUAUCACUUCCAGAUGAGCCCGCGGCCCANCAGCUCGUUGGCGGGGUAAAGGCCCACCAAGGCAACGACGGGUAGCUGGUCUGAGAGGACGAUCAGCCACACUGGAACUGAGACACGGUCCAGACUCCUACGGGAGGCAGCAGUGGGGAAUUUUGCACAAUGGGCGAAAGACCUGAUGCAGCAACGCCGCGUGUGUGAUGAAGGUC
RNAcentral lists this ribosomal RNA (401 nucleotides) under uncultured bacterium. RNAcentral describes it as "bacterial SSU rRNA". It matches the Rfam family "Bacterial small subunit ribosomal RNA", at positions 29 to 416 of the family's 1533-position model. The record is from RNAcentral.